This 345-nucleotide ribosomal RNA is filed under the name uncultured Desulfobulbus sp. Its description in RNAcentral is "bacterial SSU rRNA". It matches the Rfam family "Bacterial small subunit ribosomal RNA", at positions 1039 to 1382 of the family's 1533-position model. The record is from RNAcentral. Lineage: Bacteria; Pseudomonadati; Thermodesulfobacteriota; Desulfobulbia; Desulfobulbales; Desulfobulbaceae.
UGCUGCAUGGCUGUCGUCAGCUCGUGUCGUGAGAUGUUGGGUUAAGUCCGCAACGAGCGCAACCCUUGCCUUUAGUUGCCAGCAGUUCGGCUGGGCACUCUAAAGGGAACUGCCGGUGUUAAACCGGAGGAAGGUGGGGAUGACGUCAAGUCCUCACUGGCCUUUAUGACCAGGGCUACACACGUACUACAAUGGCCGAUACAAAGGGCAGCGACACUGCGAGGUGAAGCCAAUCCCGUAAAAUCGGUCUCAGUCCGGAUUGGAGUCUGCAACUCGCCUCCAUGAAGUCGGAAUCGCUAGUAACCGCAGAUCAGCUACGUUGCGGUGAAUACGUUCCCGGGCCUU